Long non-coding RNA from Ictalurus punctatus (channel catfish), 1785 nucleotides. Lineage: Eukaryota; Metazoa; Chordata; Actinopteri; Siluriformes; Ictaluridae. The record is from Ensembl.
CUUUUUCUGAUCUGCAAAUCCUUACUCCUUGAUUUUGUAAAGCUAAUAUUGUCUUGGAUCUCGUACGUGUUGCGUGUGUGACAUUUAUGAAGCGCGUGAAGGAAAUGAUUAAUUUUUAAUUUGUAAUAAUUUUGUUUCUGUUCAUGUUCAUCUGAGGAUAACACCUAAGAAGGCCAUGUCAUGUCACUGAGAUCAGUACAGAAUGUUUAUCUGCUUACAGAGACACAAACAUGUUCUUCUGUUCAAGAGGACGAGUCUGCGAGUGUUGUCUAAUUUCCACGACAAUUUGGCGUCUCCUGGCUGGGCUGCGUGAGUCUUUUCAGCUUUUCUGGACAACAAGCAAACCGGAGGACGACCGUGGAACAGUUUCACCCUGAAGUCCGUGUUGACGCAAACGCUGUUUGCCCUUUGUUGUGAGAAUCAAGAAUUUAGAAUUAGAAUUUUAUGAAAUCAUUGUGUAUCGCUGUCUGUGUAUUGCUGUCUGUCUGUGUUUCAGGAACUUCGCCUCUGCGACGGCAGAGAUCUUGGUGUUUCUUAGAUCACAGAUUCAAAACUGACAGAGAUAAUAACAGUAAAAAUAUUUGCUAACGGAAAGAGUCCUGUUCGAGCAAUAAAUAAGUAAAGAGAGUACUUAUUAAGAAGUGCAAGAGGCGCAGUAUUUUUGCAGUGGGUUAUUAUCAAGUGACAUGCCCCAGUGUCUCAUUCUAUCAUAUCAGAAGUACAUGAUACAUUUGGCAAAUUUAACACACAAGUAAAUUUAACUGAGAUAAAAAAUACUAAUAAAAAUAUUUUUAAAAAAGAAGGGAAGAGAAAACUGUAAGUCCUACCAAAUUGCUGUAUGUGAACUCGCCUCACAGGUACACUCUUUUACAUUCUUAAGGUUUGCUCUAUUGAACCUAUAGCUUAUAUGAUUACUUGAAUGUCUAGAGAUUUGGCACACAUUUUGAACCUUUUUUGUCUGUGCACACUGUGAUAUUCACUUGAUUUUCAUAGCAUGUUAAAUUGAUUAAAACUUUAAAGUUAUAGAAGCUGUAAAGAAAAGAAAAAUAUGGGGAGAACAUGUAGCAAAGCGCAUCCUGAGACACAGGCUAUGGUAUGUACAGGGUACUCAUAUGUUGAUCCUAAUAUCACGUUUAUAUGUGUAAAUUAUGGGGAAGGAUGUUUGAACCAAUAUGAUGUAUAGGUUAAAGAAUGUGCUUUCCUAGAAAAAGGUAGUUUUAGUCUCAGACAGUUAGAACAACAGAAAUUUAAUUUGGAAGCAAAGAAGAGAGAUAUUCCUAAAAGUAAAAAAAUAAAUAAAUAAACAGUUUUUGGCAGACUGGAAGGCAUUUGCUGAAUGGCAGAGAAGAAAAAAGAAAAAAAAAAUCAGGCAGGUCCCUCAUCUGUUUCUCAGUGUGAUAAGUUACAGAAAGCCGAUCGCGACCUGGACUCCACCCCACCGCGACGCCCACAGCCAAUAAGGAGGGAGGAACCUGCAGUUUCAGAGGCGCCUCCUCACAAUAAAGCAGCCCAGCCUACGCCACUCUAUCCGAACCAGUCAGAACUGAGCCACCAACCCCCACCGAACUAUGCGCCAGCCAUCCUAGCUUCACUGGUGGCGUUACACCCAAGAUACCAAGUGAAGGGACCAAGAACAUUGCUGCCUGAGGGCUUCAGACCAACAAAAUCAGACAGAGAAGGGACAAUGCACGCCUCGGUGAAUGUCCCAAUGCUAGAAGUGGCCCUAUGCUAGUUCACAGACCCUAGACAUUGGAAGAAAUCAGGAGCAGCAUGACGCAUCUGCCG